CAGUCGCCGCGGGAAUACGGAGGGUGCAAGCGUUAAUCGGAAUUACUGGGCGUAAAGCGCACGCAGGCGGUCUGUCAAGUCGGAUGUGAAAUCCCCGGGCUCAACCUGGGAACUGCAUUCGAAACUGGCAGGCUAGAGUCUUGUAGAGGGGGGUAGAAUUCCAGGUGUAGCUGUGAAAUGCGUAGAGAUCUGGAGGAAUACCGGUGGCGAAGGCGGCCCCCUGGACAAAGACUGACGCUCAGGUGCGAAAGCGUGGGGAGCAAACAGGAUUAGAUACCCCUGUAGUCCCUGUCUCUUAUAC
This 301-nucleotide ribosomal RNA is filed under the name uncultured bacterium. RNAcentral describes it as "partial 16S ribosomal RNA". It matches the Rfam family "Bacterial small subunit ribosomal RNA", at positions 509 to 807 of the family's 1533-position model. The record is from RNAcentral.